RNAcentral lists this non-coding RNA (97 nucleotides) under Micromonospora sp. Llam0. The record is from RNAcentral. Lineage: Bacteria; Bacillati; Actinomycetota; Actinomycetes; Micromonosporales; Micromonosporaceae.
GAGAGCCGUGUGUCAGGGAAACCGACCAGCACGGUUCGGGAAGAGGCCGACGGAAAAGGACCCACACCAUGGGCACCUCGCCGGCGGCCCACUUCAC